This is a long non-coding RNA of Gasterosteus aculeatus aculeatus (three-spined stickleback), 12454 nucleotides long. The record is from Ensembl. Lineage: Eukaryota; Metazoa; Chordata; Actinopteri; Perciformes; Gasterosteidae.
CCUCCCCCUCCUCCUCCUCGCCCCUCUGCAGGUUUAAAUUAGCAUCCCAUCUCCUGCACUCCAGCGUGUGAUAACACAUCUGAUCUGCGGCAGCAUGGAGUCAGAAUACUAAAUGCGUGAGUCGCUCUGAGGACCAGCAGAGCUCUGCCAACCCAUUCGAGGUAAUCUCUCACCCCCCGUCCCCCCUCCUCCCCUCCGACUCCCAUCUCCUCAGCUGCUUCAAACGUUUUAACCAUUCAGGCUAUUAGUCAGAAAGAGAGUCAUAAAACAGUUGUUCCUGAUGGGGACUGUGUGGGAUAUAUUCCAUUAGUCAGACAGGACGGAGGGAGGAGAGGCCAGUGUUAAUAUUCCAUUUCAUUGUAAAUGCACAUCGACAAAACUUGUGUCUCUGUAUCAAAUGUAAAAAUGAAAAAGGAGAAAAUAAAGAAUUAGCCAUAAGAAUGUGUGGUUUUUGGCAAAUAAAACAAACAGUGUAAUACAUAAAAGUGUCCAGCAUGGCCUUUAUUGUACUGUUCACUUGUACAUGUUUCAUGCUGUUCCGUGGUCAUAAUAACCUUUAGGAGUGGAACUACGUGCACUUCAAAUACAUCAAAUUAAAUAAAUCAAAUUAUACCAAAAAGAAUACAAAACCAAGGGAUGUCAAAGCAGUUAAACUACACUAAUGUGCCCUGAGUUGAAUGAAGGCAAAUUAAACUGUAGUGAUGAGAUAUAAAUGUCUUGUUAGUCAACAGCAUUCUAAUCUUUAUUGAAGGAUUUUCUUUCCUUUCCUGAUGGAAAAGAAGCUGAUCUGAAGCCCACAGCGAUUUCUCUCGUCCUGUCGGCUUCUUAUUUUGUUUACUUCUUUGGAGGAACGCGAGUCUUUAAAGGUUUAAUAAUGGACAAAACGCGCUUCAGAUGGACGUUUGCGAGCAGCUAACGAGCCGCUCGGGGAAUAUUCGCCGGGAGAAAGAAAGUCGACGGUUUGACUCACAGACACGCCGCUCUCGGACGAGAUGUCCCUCUGCGAGCUGGAUGAGCGCGAGGACGCCGGGAGGAGGAGGGUGGCAGGGGUUAACGUUGAGGGAGGAAGAGUGUCGAUAUCACAGCAGCAAUUACUGCUUUAUAAAUGGGCCCGGCGUCGCCGUGAAUGAGCAGCUCCAUCAAUCUGUCCUGACAGCGCUCCUUAGCCCGUCGCUCCCACUCCUGCCCGCAAUCUGUAGAUUUCAACUUUGCCCAGAAAUUGCUAAUCCGAUUGAGGCGUAACUUGGUUAGCUGCUGAAUGUGCUGGAGGAGGAGGAGGUGGUGGAGGAGGAGGAGGAGGAGGCAGACUGCCGGCUCAGCUCAAACACACCCAGCACACACACACACACACACACACAGUGCAGCUCUGCAUGAGGAGUCCUGCAGGGAGGAGGCCGGAGAGCAGCACUCUUCCCUCCUCGGGAGGUCCAACGGUGGUCUGAAGGUGUCAAUGAAAUCACGUCCGAGAUCUUAACGCUUGGUAUUUGCAUUAAUGAUGAAGAUAUUAAUCCGUCUCAAACAAACGUUCAGAAUCCUUCCAGGUUUAGCUCAUAAAGUAAAAAGCUAACGGGCCGCGGUCACAUGACUUUGUGUUAGAAGGAGGAGCCUUUACGGCAGCCCAAACAGCAGAUCAUCCCUUUCACAUAUAAGUUGUUAGGUCAGAGAAGGAGAAGUUAAUGUGAUGACGUAGUGAAAUGACGUUUGCCGUUUGACGGCAGAGAUUGUAGAUCGUAUCUGAUCUCCAACCAGCAGCCUGGCUGACUACAGGCCCGUCGCCCUGACCUCUGUAGUCAUGAAGUCUUUUGAACGGCUAGUCCUGACCCACCUGAAGUCCCUCACCGACCCCCUCCUGGACCCCCUGCAGUUCGCCUACAGAGCCAACAGGUCUGUGGACGAUGCUGUCAACAUGGCCCUCCACUACAUCCUCCAGCAUCUGGACUCCCCAGGAACCUACGCCAGGAUCCUGUUUGUGGACUUCAGCUCUGCCUUCAACACCAUCAUCCCGUCUCUACUGCAGGACAAACUCUCCCAGCUGCACCGCCCGACUCCACCUGCAAGUGGAUCACAGACUUCCUGUCUGACAGGAAGCAGCGCGUGAAGCUGGGGAAACAUGUCUCAGCCUCUCGGACCAUCAGCACCGGUUCCCCCCAAGGCUGCGUUCUUUCCCCUCUGCUCUUCUCCCUGUACACCAACAGCUGCACCUCCAGCCACCAGUCCGUCAAGCUCCUGGAGUUUGCGGAUGACACCACCCUCAUUGGACUGAUCUCUGGUGGGGACGAGUCCGCCUACAGGUGGAGUCUGACCAUCUGGUGUCGUGGUGCAGUCAGAACAACCUGGAGCUCAACGCUCUAAAGACAGUGGAGAUGGUUGUGGAUUUCCGGCGGAACAGAGCCCCACCCUCCCCCAUCACCCUGUGUGACUCCCCCGUCACUAUUGUGGAUUCCUUCUGUUUCCUGGGCUCCAUCAUCACCCAGGACCUCAAGUGGGAGCUGAACAUCAGCUCCAUCACCAAGAAGGCUCAGCAGAGGUUGUUCUUCCUGAGGCAGCUGAAGAAACUCAACCUGCCAAAGACGAUGAUGGUCCACUUCUACACGGCCAUCAUGGAGUCCAUCCUCUGCUCCUCCAUCACCGUCUGGUACGCUGCAGCCACAGCCAAGGACAAGGGCAGGCUGCAGCGUGUCCUCCGCUCUGCAGAGAGGGUGAUCGGCUGCAAUCUGCCGUCCCUGCAGGACUUGUUCGCUUCCAGGUCUCUGAAGCAGCUAAAAAGAUGGUAGCCGACCCCUCUCACCCCGGACAAAACCUGUUUGUGCCCCUUCCAUCUGGCAGGAGGCUGAGGUCCAUCAGGACUAAGACCUCCCGCCACACCAACAGUUUCUUCCCGUCGGCAGUCGGGCUCAUCAACAGAGCCGGUCCCCCACUGCCUGACUACAACAUUCCACCGGUCACUCCCCUUCAUACUGCACAUGUCACUUUAACUGCAAUUCAUCACUUUGUCGUCACUCGUCACUUAUGUUUCCUGGUUCCUGAUUCCUGAUCCUGAUUCACCGGUAUCUUGUCCUUCUCCAGCUUCGUUGUGGAUGCUCCCGGUGGUCGAUGACAACGACCUGUUUGUCAUUCAGCCUGCAGACUCAUCGAUGCUUUCACCUAAGAAACGUAUUAUUUAGACCAUCGAGAUGCCUGGAUCUUUUUGACAGCUCUUCCACAGAGUUUCCACUUUAGUCUUGCUUGUGGUAUGAAGCAUGAUUUAGGCAUGGAGACCCACACAGUGAGAUAAGUGCUCAUUGUGCAGCGGGCCGAGCCUCUAUAGUUUAGUAUUGAUCCUCGGCUGCCUCAUCCCAAAACCCAAUGAAUGGAGCUUUGGGGAUUAACAGCCAAUAGGAUCGCUGGGUAAUUGAGUCUUUAAAAAACACACAUGGAGAGCCCAGAGGUGAAUUCCCUUUGAGACUGUCGAUCUGCUGCCAAGUUACACCACAUUUUCACAUUUGUGAACAUUUUCAUGACUGUUGGUGUUUAGGCAUAAAAUAAUCCUGAAUUAGUGUCUUAAAAGAUUCAGAAAGUGUGUUUCAGACGCUGCGAUACAAAGAAGAGUCAUUUGAAGUUGUUUUUCCGGGUGUUUAACUAGCAAACAUUGGCGGUUUCUCUGCCUCUGCCCGGCUGGAAAGACCCACCUCUUCCGUCUGCCUUUGAACUGAGAACGAUAACGCUUCGGACGUAUUUCCUGGGAUCCAUUGAUGAAGGCAAUCAAUAGCCAGCAGCUUUGGACAGACAUCAAUGUAACACUUGUUCGGAUAAUCUGGGCUCUGUUUCUCCUCUCCCAGAUGACCUAAAUGAGCCGGAGCGAACAGACAAACACAGCAGUUCAGGUGUGAACGAGUCUAAAACUCUCCACAAUAUGUCCCAGCAUGCUCCGCUCUGACCUCCUGGACGCUGCAGCACAGCGUCUGUUCCUCGGCAUCCAUGCGGUGAAUUAACAGCCUCUGAUCAGCCAGCAGCUGCUUCUCUCCGGCACGGAAACAUUAUGAAUACAUCCGUCCAUACAUAUGUAUGCCGACAGAUUACCACCUCUGCAACCCUCCAGAUGCCGCCGCCGUAAUGACAUGCAACAUGAUCGUCUGUGUAUAUUUGUCUUAGCGGCGGGCCGGGCCUCUUGUUCUGCAUCCCAUUACACCGCUGCCGUGCCGAAACAUGCAUCACCUCACUGACAGAGUGAGAGGAGCAGCCAGCAAACAAAUAGCAUCCAGCUGAGCCGCGGGAUGCUAACUGCUGGCUCCGACGCAAAUGUGCCCUUUCUGUGAGCUCGCCGAGGACGAGAGGACCAUUUGGGUUUCUCUUCUAUUUAGCCUAGCUUAGCACAAAGACUGGAAGCAGGGGGGUACUGCUAGCCUGGCUUCGUUGAUCUUCCUCAUUAGCAUAAAGUCCCCAAAGGCUGCAAACAUUGUGAAGUGAAGACAUUUAGUCUCAUAUUGAUUAAAAAAACACCAAUACAAUAACUUUAUUCUUCUUCUGCUCUCCUGAAUUGUUGUGCGUUAGUUUAUUUACUACAAAGUUUGUAAAAUAUCCGAUGGAUAAGUCAUAAUAAGAUUAAACGUCAUACACACACACGCACACAAACAGACACACACAGAGCCCCAGUUGGUUGUCUCGCCGUCUUCAAGAGAGGACGACCGGGGGACAACUGGCGGCCAGAUAGCCGCAGCGGGGAGUAGGAGGGAGACGCCGCCCCGGCGCUUCCGUCCCACCUUUCCCUCCCCCUGUGUUCCCCGCCGCCCGUCGCCACGGUGACGGCGCCGGCUCAGGGCCGCCAGCUGACGACCGGCAGGGAGGAUUAAUCGGCGUCGGGCGGCGAGGCAUCUGCUGCUGGAGGACGAUUAAAGGGUCUUUCCAGCUAACAUGUGGAGGCACCACGGCCGCCUGUCUGUCUGACUGUCUUGUCUGUCUGUCUGUCUGUCUGUCUGUCUGUCUGUCUGUCUGUCUGUCUGUCUGUCUGUCUGUCUGUCUGUCUGACUGUCUGUCUGACUGACUGUCUGACUUUCCAUUUGACUGUCUGACGUCAUGAAACGUUCAAAUACAACCCUCACCUUCUUGGUUAUUUUGCUUCCGGUGAACGGGAAGCGACCUCAUCCGGACUGAGGACGUCUCAGAGACUUGUCCCAUCGGCCCGUUCAAAUGUUUGUGUAGGUACACGUGUGGAGAGCAGACCCUUGAGGACACGACGCAGAAAACCUUCCGUAUCUGCAAAUAUACCACGUAUCGAUCUCUCUCCAUGUCCACGUGUCUUCCUGUCCCCUGUUACGACCUGCCCCCCCUUCUGUCUCAGCCUCUCGGUGUUUGGGUUACAGGUCUCAGUCGUCCUUAGAACACAACGUGUUUCCAUUUGUUGUGACUGGCCUGUUUCUGCUCUAAAGUGAGACUCCGCCUGCACGCCGACUAAGACGCCGACUCGUCCGUCCCAAUCCAACGUCCCCUCGCAGUGGGAGGAGCUUUAGCGCCUUGUCAGUGACGGCCUAUAUUUACCCAGAGACGACGUUAGCCAUUUCCUGCAGAGAGCGAACCAAAGACCCGCUGGGUAGAGGUCUUAAUGCGAGCUCGCCUACGCAGACCAAGACCCAACGCUUAUUCUUUUAUUACGACCUCGAGUUCACCGGGAAGAACCGCCACAAGAGACCCGAUCACAGAGACCCAGCAAGGGUACAGAACCAGAGACCCAGCAAGGUACAGGACCAGAGAGACCCAGCAAGGUACAGAACCAGAGACCCAGGUACAGAACCAGAGACCCAGCAAGGUACAGGACCACAAAGACGCAUCAAGGUACAGGACCAGAGGGACCCAGCAAGGUACAGAACCAGAGACCCAGGUACAGAACCAGAGACCCAGCAAGGUACAGGACCACAAAGACGCAUCAAGGUACAGGACCAGAGGGACCCAGCAAGGUACAGGACCAGAGGGACCCAGCAAGGUACAGGACCGGAGGGACCCAGCACGGUACAGGUACAAGUGUGAGUAAAGAUGAAGAGAAGAUAAAUCCAUCAAACUCUGGAUGUUUCUUCUCUGCCUCCAUCACAAUAACGUGUGUUCAUCGGUCUCAUAACUCCUCCAUAAUAAUCCUUAGAAUAGAGACGUAGCAGAACAUGCGUCCGUAUUAGAAGGUCCACUGGGGAGCUGUUUGACGUCUCCUAAUGAUAGACUGCAUCUCAUGUUUGAAUGAAUAUGAUUAAUAUACUGCUGAUGUCUAUGUAAUCUUCUAUGGCUUCAUGGAUGUGCACGACGAGAACACAGUCCUCCCGUGUUCAUUGUGUCAUCAGUGAUCAGGAGCUGAUGAGUUUUUGUUAAAUGUGUGUUCCAGAGAAGCAGAAUAGUGUUUCUGCACCUCCAUCGGAGAGAUAACCCGACCCCCCGGCCACAGUCCUCGUAUCGUCCACAGCGGAGCUCCUCUAUUGAAGUCUCUUACCAGGGGAGUAUAUGAGGAGAAACAUCAUGGGGGCGUAGUUAUGAAAAACCUUUUGUUUUAUGGAAAAUAUGAAACUUUUGUUAGAAACCAGUGGCGGCAAGAACAGGGUGCCCAAAUUACUAAAAAGUUAAAUAAUAAUGUCACAAUAGUAAAAAUAAUUGAGUGAGUGGUUUAGUCAGUAACGAGCAGGUAUUAUUAUCUACAUCACUAACGUCCUGUGAAAUCUGACAAAAGUGCAGCAAUGUGAGAACAAGCAAAUGAUGAUUUUCCAAUAUAGAUUUUUUUUUUCCUCCAUCAUACGGAAAAAGAAAAUUAAAAUUGGCAUUUGACCUUUUUUCUUGUUGUGUAAGAUGCAAUAUCGCACGUGUCAGACGGCAAGAAAGUAGAAAUAUUUCAAAUUCAAAUUGAAGCUCUGAAAACGUUUUAUUUUUGUCGACUUGAUUCAGCUGUCUUUAGGAAACAAUGUCAAUUCCUACUCGAAGGGGGAAGGUUAUAAGGAUGCUGAUAUUAAUCGGACACAACAGCUUCUCUCUGUUAUUUAGUCUGUUUUUUGUUGCACUUCCACAUUGAACACCUGUUAAAGUCUCCAUCAUCUUUCCCACUAAUCAACACGCUGCAAUGCACCAGCAGAGGUCAAGAUUAAACACACUUCAAGUUGAUAUUAGGAAGAAAACCACCAGGUUGUAUUUCAACCUCAAAGGGAACCGUUCUAUGGACUAAGAGGUGUUCAAUAACCUGCUGCCUCUACUUCAGCUCGUGGCUAUCAAUCUUUAGUGGUGCGUGUCUCCCCGCCUCACUGACCCGGGAGACGCGUUCUGUCCAUCAGGGACGAAUCAGAGUCUCUGACCGCCGCGGGCAUCGAACGGUGAUCUCGGCCGGUUGAUGGAGGAGCGGAGGCUGCUUGUGAAGCCCGGCGCAGUAAAUCUCUGCGGAUCGGAGCGCUGCGACGUCCCUCGUCCCUUCGUCCUCUCUCUCUGCAGCGGGCGGAGCGGGCAGCGGCGCCGGAGUCGCUGGACGGGAGCAUGGCGCCCCCCGGAGGCCGAUCCCUCCACCCAUCACCCCCACUGCAGCGGGGGGGGCACGUCAUGAAUAUUUCACCGGGUUUAACUCCCCUUAAAAUAUGCAUUCUAAUUGGGCCUAAGUGGCGCAGCUCCUCUCUAAGUAGCUUCCUGAUCCUUCCCGCUCAAACUGACACGUUUCAUAUGCUUGACAUGUUUUUUUAAUGUUGCUUACUAAUCUGUUUCUUCCUCCGGCUGAACUUAACUGAAGCUACUCACAUUCCAGGCAGCUCCUGACUGCCAGCAGCAUGGUGCCGUUUACCCGUGGGGGGGGGGGGGGGGGGGCACAGGUCAAAUACAACCUGAAUAAUAAUGGCAAUGCAAAUAUGACGCCUUGUUUACUGUUAGUGGGUCUUAUCUGUUUUCAUUCAAAAAGCCGAGCAGUAAAUCCUUUGGUAAUAAGUUUGACCUGUAAAUUUGAAUUUCUUCAUGUCUCUUAUCAGCUGACUCCAACAGACGGCCUCCGAAUCGACCCUUUCAGUAUUUUAACUAGCGUCUAAUCAAAUGUGCUUUCAAAUCCUCUCCAGUGGACUAAAUAAUACGGCUUGUUGUUUGUGGAACGUGUGACAGUGAGCGGAGCUUCAAGCUGCUGCUCACAUCCAGCCGUGUAACAGAAAAUGAUUGGAGACCAGAUGAGGAAUGAAGAUUCAUUCUGAACACAGCGCUUACACAACUUCCAUUUCUGCCUCUGAAAUUCCACAGUGAUUAUUUUUGUUUUGUUCAAUGAAACUUUCAUUUAUUUAUUUCGCAAUAAUAAUUCGGUGGAAAUUGAGAACCAGAGAACGAGGAGUCGCGGAGCUCAACAGGAAAUUAUGCAGCCUGAAGUCCGGGAGGCGGUUCUUGGCUGAUACAUAAAAAAAUCCUGCAGCUCACAGGAUGUGUGGAGCCCACACACAUAAUCAUAAAAUCCAUACGCACCGCAGUGAGAGCAGCCAAACGUACGCAGCAAUCUGUGCCCACGCUGUUCAGAAGAACAUCAGAGCAGACCCAAGCCUCCACCCGAACCUCCAACACUCGGACUCCUCAAUCAUGAUGGUGCAGCGUCCAAUCAGAGUCACCUCCUCUGGUCCUCCACGGUCCACAUCAUCUGGUCCUCCAGAGUCCACAUCCUGUGGUCUCUUACAUCAUAUCUAGUUCCAGAUCGACAAUGUUGGGAUUUUCACAAGCUUAGAGCGAGAAGCAGGAGUCGGAGGUCUGUGAGUAUCGGUCCUCCGAAGUUUGGUUUCAGUGUCCUGAGAACCGUUAUAAUAUAUGCUAAUAAUAUAUAAUAUAAUUACAUGUUAUGUAACUCUUGUAAGAACUUAUUGUUCAUCCGAGGGCGUUUAACUAAAAGAUUUAACCAAACUGUUGACACAAACCUGAGAAAACCUGUUGAAGCCACAGCAGCCAGCCUGUGGAAUUAGGAUUUAUCUUCUGCGAGCUGAGCAGUCUACCUGAGGAAGGACGAGUACUCAGGUGUGAGGCUACAGGUGUGUGUGGACAUUUGUUCACAUCGAGUCUCUUGCUAAAUGAGUCACGACACACACACACAUCGCAACGAUAACGCUCAACACGAACGCCACUAUACACACACACACACACACAAUCCCACACACUCCAAAGGUCGAUGCCCGGCUAUCAAACCCCGACACACACACUCACACACACACACACACACACACACAGAGGGGGUCCACUGGGGUUUGGAGUAGAAAGAGACUCACUGUUGGUUUCAUCCUCGCUCGUCGCUGUAGUGGCUUUGAUCCUCCUCUCCACUGCAUCCCUCUCUCUCUCUCUCUCUCUCCCUCCCCCUCCUGCUCCUCCCUACUCUCACCCUUUCCCUCUCUCCCCAUCUGCUUGCUUUCUCUCCCCCUCACCCUCUCUCUCUCCCUCACCUUUUCCUGCUCUCCCCCAUCUCCCCCUCUCACUCACUCCAUCCUCCUUUUCUUCUCCCCUCUCCUCCUCUCUUUCUCCCACCCUCUCUCCAUCCUUCUCUUCCCCUCCCACUCUCUUUCUCUCCCUUCUCUCUAUUACUCUCUCUCUACAACUCUCUCUCCCCCUCUGCCUCUGGCUCUCUCUCCCCUUACCCCACUCUCCCUCUUCCUCACUCACUCUGUUCUGAAACAUAAUGGACGGCGGUAAGGCAGGCGCAGCGCUUUGUUGCCAUGGUGAUGGCAAAGGAACUAAUAACCUGGUGAAGAGCAGAUAAGGCUGUGAACAGAGAGAGAGGAGAGCGGACGGGAGGAAGGAGAAACAAUGAGCAGUAGGUAGGGCAGGGGGAGGGGGGCACAAGUAUUAAAACUGAGUAUUAGUACUGUGAGUGUGAGUAUUAGUUGUAUUGCCGUGAGUGAAUGUGAGUGGUGUUGUUGUGCGUGAUGAUUGUAUUGUAAUUCUAAGUGAUUAUUACGAGCUGCAUAUUGAAUAUGUGAGCAUUAUCAUUUCUGCUAAUAUGCAUAUAAUGUGAGUACAUAAAGUAUUGUUUCUGCGAGAGUGUGUACUGUUGUGAGUAUGAGUAUUACCACUAUGAUUGUUAAUUAUUAUAAUGGUUAAAGUAUUAUUUUUAUAGGUAAAAUAAUAUGAUUUUGAAUUUCACUACUAUUAGUAGAAUUGGCCUUUUUGUCAUGAAAGUGUUUUAUAUCUAUCUCUAAAUGCUGAAUGUGUUUACAUUAAGAUCUUAUAUUUUGACUUCAUCUCACCACAAGGCAGAAGACAACAGUAACCAUUUACUGAGUGUUUGAUACAAACCAAAAGGGAAUCACACACAUUCUACCUCACGUCGUGGCUGGCUACCCACAAUGCAACUUGUCAACCGCUAGUCGGGUAUCUUUGUGGGGGAAUGGUCUCCAUGGUGCUGAAGCCUCACUGCGAUGUGUCCUGGUGGCCCAUGGUGCUCUCCAUGGUGCUGAAGCCUCAAUGUGAUGUGACCUGAUGGUCCAUGGUGCUCUCCAUGGUGCUGAAGUCUCAUUGCGAUGUGAUCUGAUGGUCCAUGGUGCUCUCCAUGGUUCUGAAGUCUCACUGUGGUGUGUCCUGGUGGCCCAUGGUGCUCUCCAUGGUUCUGAAGCCUCACUGCGGUGUGUUCUGGUGGUCCAUGGUGCUCUCCAUGGUUCUGAAGCCUCACUGUGGUGUGUCCUGGUGGUCCAUGGUGGUGCUGUGUUGCUGAAGCCUAAUGUACAAAAUCGUUAUGGCCUCUGCUUCCCCAGGGAUGUUAUCAAUAUAUAACCAAAGUAGCUAUUCUUUUGUGGUUUGCUAGUCAAAGGUGAACCUAACAAAUGCAACAGCGGUUCGGUCAGAUAUUUGGGUGAGAUAUGCCUCCCUCUCCUUUAUGCUCCUCUCUCUUCAGCCUUUAGUAGAGAUGAGCAGCUCGCCACAGAGCACAGCUAGCUUUGCUUAUAGUCCACACCAGUGCGUUCCGUUGUUGUUCUUUCAUUUUGUUACCUCUGUUUCACUCUGACAUGAACUCCCUGCUAUCCAGUCACUCCCUGCUGCCCUGCAGUAACCCCUUCCCAGCAGCUGACCUUCCUCGCCCACCUGCCCACUUGUUUAGCUGCUUUCCACCUCCCUCAUCAGCCCUGCAGUGUAAACACCACAUUGUGUCGUUUGCAUUUGCUCAGAUUUGUAACCUUUUCUGCCUCUCCAUCUUCCUUAUUCAUGAAUUAAAGAUUCCCUCCCCGGAUUGGUUUGUCUUUCCUGACUUUGAUUGACAAGAGUCUCUGGGGGCCUCACCUCCUGUCAUCUAUACAAUGAGUAAAUAGAAUCCCCCCAAAACAUCAACAAACUAAAGCUUUAAAUACUACAGUACAAAAGUAAAUGUAUUUAUCAUGAAUAGACAGUGAAAAAAAUCAGAAAUUUUGUUUCAAAAUGUGUAAAUUUGGGUUUGAUGGUGGAGAAAAAGUAAGCUCAGCCUAAAAAAAUCAAAGCGAGAAGAAUCCUCUGAAAAACAACCCUGAGUAUCAACAUAGAUCUUUAUAGAUAUUGGACUCACAGUCUUUCAGAAAAAGUCCAGAAUCCUGCAUCAGGAUGAAAGCCAACAUCAGGGUGCCAGCAGAGGAGACAACCCCCCCCCCCCCAUCUCUUUCUAAUGGGACCACAAACCCUUUCUCCAAAGAAACACAGGCUAGUGAUGACCAGGGAACUCCAUUCCUGAGGUUUAAACAUGACGAAUGAAAUGUUCCUUUAACAGUUGAGGAAAUCCAUUUAUAUUUAAGGCUGAAAGAGAACCCUGUAAUGAGGUUUUUGAGGGUUUCUUUAGUCCUUCAACCAUAUAAGAAGCUCUUUUUCCUUAUCGCAUGACAAGUUGACAUUAUUACAGAUACAUGGAUUUUAAUGGAUGGCAAAGUUUCCUCUUCAUUUUUAAGGGUCUUUAAGUGUAGAAGCGUAUCUUUUUUUCCAACACUGGAAAAAGACAAGAGUAGAAAUUAUUUAACUUAUUCGUACAAUAAGACAAGUCAAAUAUUGCAAAAAAGAAUUCCAUAGUUUUUAUGAGAGUUAACCUGGAGAUUUCUUUCAUCUUAAGCAUCAUUAUCUGUAUCUCUAUAACCUGAGGGUGAACCUGCUCACACACACACACACACACACACUGAGAGGGUCAAGAAGGUGUGUGUUUUGAGGAGGGGGGGGGGGCUGCUGGGCGAGGAAUGUACUUGGAGAUGUUUUCCUACUCUUCAUUUGAUGUUGCUGUUUUCCUGGUCGCUUUGAUCUCCUGCUCCAUCGCUGUCGAGCCGCUGCUGAAGUUUGAGAUUCAGUGUGAGUGUGAGUUCACACACACACACACACACACACACACACACACAAACACAUCCAUUCAUCGCCUGUGUCAUCGGUUUACUCGACAGUCAAAAACAAAACUGCAACAUCUUGGACGUGAAGCAGGAGUGAAGGCAGGAGGAGGACUAUCCACUAGCAGUGGAAGAAGUACCCAGAUACACUGAAGUAAAUCUCCAGAAGCAGAAGCAUCAACAUACACUUAUAU